Molecule: ribosomal RNA, 488 nt
Filed under: uncultured Ktedonobacteria bacterium
Lineage: Bacteria; Bacillati; Chloroflexota; Ktedonobacteria
Description: bacterial SSU rRNA
Rfam family: Bacterial small subunit ribosomal RNA
Source: RNAcentral
GGAACGUCGGCGCCCCGCAAGGGGCCUGGCCACAGGUGUUGCAUGGCUGUCGUCAGCUCGUGUCGUGAGAUGUUGGGUUAAGUCCCGCAACGAGCGCAACCCCUAUCGUGUGUUGUAUCACUCACACGAGGCUGCCGAGAGAAACUCGGAGGAAGGCGGGGAUGACGUCAAGUCAGCAUGGCCCUUACGUCCUGGGCUACACCCACGCUACAAUGGCCGGUACAACGGGCGGCGAAACCGCGAGGUGGAGCAAAUCCCUUAAAGCCGGUCUCAGUUCGGAUUGUAGGCUGCAACUCGCCUACAUGAAGCCGGAGUUGCUAGUAACCGCCGGUCAGCAUACGGCGGUGAAUAUGUUCCCGGGGCUUGUACACACCGCCCGUCACGUCAUGAAAGCUGGCAACACCCGAAGCCGGUGGGCCAACCCGCAAGGGAGGCAGCCGUCGAAGGUGGGGUCGGUGAUUGGGACGAAGUCGUAACAAGGUAACCGU